GAGGUCGAAAGGGGGACCCAUGGGAUCGUUACCCUGAUCAUCCGGUCCGCGCCCGAGGGGGAUAUCCGUCUUGUGGACCCCAGUGAGUCUGAGCCCUGUGCCUAGGUUCGGGCGAGGCGGAACCUUGUGGCGAGGGGUCGGGCGCUCCCGACCCCGGGGUCGCGGUCGGACGAGGCAGAGCCUUGCGGCGAGUGGUCCGACGCUCUUGACCCCAAGACCGCGGUCGGGCGAGGCAGAGUCCCACUAUGAGUUCGGCUUGACGGCGAUUUCGUUAUCCCGGAUGGGACUGGGCCUUCAUGAUUGUUUCUUUAAGCGGUAUUUAGGAGAUCGUUAAUAUUUCCCCCCAACAGUAGCCCCCGAGCCUG
Molecule: long non-coding RNA, 365 nt
Filed under: Setaria viridis
Lineage: Eukaryota; Viridiplantae; Streptophyta; Magnoliopsida; Poales; Poaceae
Description: long non-coding RNA (SVIR_LNC000421)
Source: RNAcentral